RNAcentral lists this ribosomal RNA (465 nucleotides) under uncultured bacterium. Its description in RNAcentral is "bacterial SSU rRNA". It matches the Rfam family "Bacterial small subunit ribosomal RNA", at positions 338 to 795 of the family's 1533-position model. The record is from RNAcentral.
CCUACGGGGGGCACCAGUGGGGAAUUUUGGACAAUGGGGGCAACCCUGAUCCAGCCAUGCCGCGUGUGUGAAGAAGGCCUUCGGGUUGUAAAGCACUUUCGGACGGAACGAAAUCGCGCGAUCUAAUAAGUCGCGUGGAUGACGGUACCGUAAGAAGAAGCACCGGCUAACUACGUGCCAGCAGCCGCGGUAAUACGUAGGGUGCGAGCGUUAAUCGGAAUUACUGGGCGUAAAGUGUGCGCAGGCGGCAGAGCAAGUCGAGUGUGAAAGCCCCGGGCUUAACUUGGGAAUUGCGCUCGAAACUACUUUGCUGGAGUGUGGCAGAGGAAGGUGGAAUUCCACGUGUAGCGGUGAAAUGCGUAGAGAUGUGGAGGAACACCAAUGGCGAAGGCAGCCUUCUGGGCCAACACUGACGCUCAUGCACGAAAGCGUGGGGAGCAAACAGGAUUAGAUACCCGAGUAGUC